UGUGUUACCUUCACAGACCAUAUCCCCGUAGGAAAUUACACUUUUCAUAAGAAAUUCACAAGAAAAGAAAGAUAACUUAUUUUAAACAAUGCAAACACGUUUUUAAUCAUUUUACAUGAACUUUUAUCUUUUUAAUGUACAAGAAAGUUGAACAAAUGAAUUUAACUCUUUGGUAUUUAUAUUCUUAGACUUUACUUAUCUUUUACUAUUCAUUCUUCUUUUUAACCCGGGUUACAGUAAAGCUAUCUGUCCUACAGCACCGAGCUGACCGUCCCACAGGACGGCGCUUACCGUCCUACAGCACCGAGCUGACCGUCCUACAGCUCCGAGCUCACCGUCCUACAGCUCCGAGCUCACCGUCCUACAGCACGGCGCUUACCGUCCUACAGCUCCGAGCUUACCGUCCUACAGCUCCGAGCUCACCGUCCUACAGCUCCGAGCUUACCGUCCUACAGCACCGAGCUCACCGUCCUACAGCUCCGAGCUCACCGUCCUACAGCACGGCGCUCACCGUCCUACAGCACGGAGCUAUGCAGCCGACAGCAAUUGCUUGUUGAUGUACACAGACGGACAGGAGACAUGCUGUUUUGUUGAAGUGCGAGAGUAACUUUUAUUGAUAUUAUUGUCAUUUUAUUUGUGUUGCCAUAGGCAAACUCACCCGUUUGUAGAUUACACUUGGAUUAUUUAUCACAAAAGAAGAUAUAAGUACGGUGGCUGGGAAGUGCAAAGCACAUUUACAACAUAGACAACAAAAUAACAUUUUAGAAAACACUUCUACAUAAAAAAAAGGCAAAUAAAAAAAUUGACAACAAAAUAACAAGUCCGCAACAAAUUAACAAGUGGCUCUUGACGGAAAGGGAUUGUCUGAAAUACCGGAAGUGACUCAACAAUGUUUCUGGCCCAAACAAAGCGCUAGCGGAAGAGGAGCGAAAGCACACGGAUAACACCAGCUAUGGUUCGUACUUGCUGUGCGGUCGGUUGUAAUGUUAGAUCGCACGACCGGCAAGGGAAUAAGCUUGAAAUGGUUUAUCUUUUCAUUCUUUCCCCACCUGGAAGCAACAUGAGGCAGCUCAUGUAUCAGAUGUUACCAAAAGAAGACGUCUAGUCUGGAUAGCAGCUGUGAGACGAGCUGAUAUCCAGCUCUCUUCCAUCUCCAAAUAUCUGUUGGUGCUCCAGAUAUUUUCAUUCCGGCAAACCAGCCUAUGAAAUGGAUGAAACACAUCGUGACUGGGUUCCAGCGCUACACAAGGGGCACUCCGAAAUCCCUGCUUCAAACAUACCGCCAUGCCAAUCAGAUUACUUCUUCCCUGUGAGGGUGAAGAUGUGACCCUUCUGGAUAAGAUGGUGAAGGUUUGCUGCGUUUUGGUGAACAGUGUGGUAGUAAAACCAGGGAAAAAUGAAACUUGCGCCUGUUAAAUAUUCUUAAGUCUUGCGCUGUAUAAAUAGCAGUAGUUUUUCAAAAGAUACAGUAAAUUAAGUAGUGAUAGUAUUUGGUGAUAUCAUGUAAACGCUGUCAUGAUUUUGUGUAAACAUUUUGUCAUUUGUAAACUAUAAAUGACAUUGAUUCUACAUUGUAACUGAUGUGAUGUUCUAUAAAGUGGUUUUAAUAAAAAACAAAAGGCAA
Molecule: long non-coding RNA, 1624 nt
Organism: Oreochromis aureus
Lineage: Eukaryota; Metazoa; Chordata; Actinopteri; Cichliformes; Cichlidae
Source: Ensembl